RNAcentral lists this ribosomal RNA (338 nucleotides) under Centruroides ochraceus. Its description in RNAcentral is "partial 12S ribosomal RNA". The record is from RNAcentral. Lineage: Eukaryota; Metazoa; Arthropoda; Arachnida; Scorpiones; Buthidae.
AAAAGAGUAUAAAAUUUAGGUAGUAUUAGAUGGCUUGAAACUUAAAAAUUUUGGCGGUGUUCUAAUCUUAUUAGAGGAACCUGUUUUAUAAUCGACAAUACACGACAGAUCUUACUUAAGUUUAGUUUGUAUAUCGUUGUGAUAAUAAUAUUUUAUAAUUAUUAUUGGGAGUAAUUUUAUUUUUGAUAUCAGAUCAAGGUUCAGCUUAUAUUUAAGUAAAAAAUGGGUUACAAUAUAAAAAUAUAUUUACGGAGUUCUAUCCUUAUAGGGAUAGAUAAAGGAGGAUUUAAAAGUAUUUCUUGAGUAAUAUGUUAGAUUGAAUUAGCUCUAGAAUAUGC